GAUGAACGCUAGCGACAGGCUUAACACAUGCAAGUCGAGGGGCAGCGAGGCUGUAGCAAUACAGCUGUCGGCGACCGGCGCACGGGUGAGUAACACGUAUGCAACCUACCCUUGUCAGUCGGAUAAUCGGAAGAAAUUCCGUCUAAUACGGCAUAACACAGAUUCGGGGCAUCCCUUAUCUGUCAAAGUUUUUCGGACAAGGACGGGCAUGCGUCGCAUUAGCUAGUCGGCGGGGUAACGGCCCACCGAGGCGACGAUGCGUAGGGGUUCUGAGAGGAAGGUCCCCCACACUGGUACUGAGACACGGACCAGACUCCUACGGGAGGCAGCAGUGAGGAAUAUUGGUCAAUGGGCGAGAGCCUGAACCAGCCAAGUCGCGUGAGGGAAGACAGUCCUAUGGAUUGUAAACCUCUUUUGUCAGGGAGCAAAAAGGGUCACGUGUGACCCAUCGAGAGUACCUGAAGAAAAAGCAUCGGCUAACUCCGUGCCAGCAGCCGCGGUAAUACGGAGGAUGCGAGCGUUAUCCGGAUUUAUUGGGUUUAAAGGGUGCGUAGGCGGAAAGGUAAGUCAGCGGUAAAAUUGAGAGGCUCAACCUCUUCGAGCCGUUGAAACUGUUUUUCUUGAGUGGGCGAGAAGUAUGCGGAAUGCGUGGUGUAGCGGUGAAAUGCAUAGAUAUCACGCAGAACUCCGAUUGCGAAGGCAGCAUACCGGCGCCCAACUGACGCUGAAGCACGAAAGCGUGGGUAUCGAACAGGAUUAGAUACCCUGGUAGUCCACGCAGUAAACGAUGAAUACUAAUUGUUCGGGGAGAUUGAUCCCUGAGUGAUACAGCGAAAGCGUUAAGUAUUCCACCUGGGGAGUACGCCGGCAACGGUGAAACUCAAAGGAAUUGACGGGGGCCCGCACAAGCGGAGGAACAUGUGGUUUAAUUCGAUGAUACGCGAGGAACCUUACCCGGGCUCAAACGACUCUGGAAUGCAUCUGAAAGGGUGCAGCCUCUUCGGAGGCCGGAGUCGAGGUGCUGCAUGGUUGUCGUCAGCUCGUGCCGUGAGGUGUCGGCUUAAGUGCAAUCACUA
This 1076-nucleotide ribosomal RNA is filed under the name uncultured bacterium. Its description in RNAcentral is "bacterial SSU rRNA". It matches the Rfam family "Bacterial small subunit ribosomal RNA", at positions 28 to 1095 of the family's 1533-position model. The record is from RNAcentral.